GAUGAACGCUGGCGGCGUGCCUAAUACAUGCGAGUCGAGCGAACGCACCAGAACCUUGCUUCUCUGAUGUUAACGGCGUAAGUGUGAGUAACACGUGGAUAACCUACCUAUAAGACUGGGAUAACUUCGGUAAACCAGAGCUAAUACCGUAUAAUAUUUUAAACCGCAUGGUUCAAAAGUUAAAGACGGUCUUGCUGUCACUUAUAGAUGGAUCCGCGCUUCAUUAGCUAGUUGGUAAGGUAACGGCUUACCAAGGCAACGAUGCGUAGCCGACCUGAGAGGGUGAUCGGCCACACUGGAACUGAGACACGGUCCAGACUCCUACGGGAGGCAGCAGUAGGGAAUCUUCGGCAAUGGGCGAAAGCCUGACGGAGCAACGCCGCGUGAGUGAUGAAGGUCUUCGGAUCGUAAACCUCUGUUAUUAGGGACGAACAGAUGUGUACGUAACUGUGCACAUCUUGACGGUACCUAAACAGAAAGCAACGGCUAACUACGUG
RNAcentral lists this ribosomal RNA (497 nucleotides) under uncultured bacterium. Its description in RNAcentral is "partial 16S ribosomal RNA". It matches the Rfam family "Bacterial small subunit ribosomal RNA", at positions 28 to 507 of the family's 1533-position model. The record is from RNAcentral.